CCUACGGGAGGCAGCAGUGGGGAAUUUUCCGCAAUGGGCGAAAGCCUGACGGAGCAAUACCGCGUGAGGGAUGAAAGCCUGUGGGCUGUAAACCUCUUUUCUCAAGGAAGAAGUUCUGACGGUACUUGAGGAAUAAGCAUCGGCUAACUCUGUGCCAGCAGCCGCGGUAAUACAGAGGAUGCAAGCGUUAUCCGGAAUCACUGGGCAUAAAGCGUCUGUAGGUUGCCUACCAAGUCUGCUGUUAAAGAUCGGGGCCUAACCCUGAGAAAGCAGUGGAAACUAGUAGGCUUGAGUGUGGUAGAGGUAGAGGGAAUUCCUGGUGUAGCGGUGAAAUGCGUAGAUAUUAGGAAGAACACCAACGGCGAAAGCACUCUACUGGGCCAUAACUGACACUGAGAGACGACAGCUAGGGGAGCAAAUGGGAUUAGAUACCCCAGUAGUCCUAGCCGUAAACGAUGGAUACUAGGUGUUGCACGUAUUAACCCGUGCAGUAUCGUAGCUAAGGCGUUAAGUAUCCCGCCUGGGAAGUACGCUCGCAAGAGUGAAACUCAAAGGAAUUGACGG
Molecule: ribosomal RNA, 564 nt
Filed under: uncultured bacterium
Lineage: Bacteria
Description: bacterial SSU rRNA
Rfam family: Bacterial small subunit ribosomal RNA
Source: RNAcentral